Molecule: unclassified non-coding RNA, 167 nt
Filed under: uncultured Penicillium
Lineage: Eukaryota; Fungi; Ascomycota; Eurotiomycetes; Eurotiales; Aspergillaceae
Description: sequence contains ITS2
Source: RNAcentral
CUGCCCUCCAGCCCGGCUGGUGUGUUGGGCCCCGCCCCCCUUCCCGGGGGGGCGGGCCCGAAAGGCAGCGGCGGCACCGCGUCCGGUCCUCGAGCGUAUGGGGCUUUGUCACCCGCUCUUGUAGGCCCGGCCGGCGCCAGCCGACCCCCUCAAUCUAUUUUUUCAGG